AGCGGCGGACGGGUGAGAUUGGAGGGGGUAACCUGCCCUAUACACACGGAUAACAUACCGAAAGGUAUGCUAAUACGAGAUAAUAUAAGAGAUUAACAUGGAUUUCUUAUCAAAGCUGAGGCGGUAUAGGAUGGACCCGCGUCUGAUUAGCUAGUUGGUAAGGUAACGGCUUACCAAGGCGACGAUCAGUAGCCGACCUGAGAGGGUGAUCGGCCACAUUGGAACUGAGACACGGUCCAAACUCCUACGGGAGGCAGCAGUGGGGAAUAUUGCACAAUGGGCGAAAGCCUGAUGCAGCAACGCCGCGUGAGUGAUGAAGGCCUUCGGGUCGUAAAACUCUGUCCUCAAGGAAGAUAAUGACGGUACUUGAGGAGGAAGCCCCGGCUAACUACAUGCCAGCAGCCGCGGUAAUACGUAGGGGGCUAGCGUUAUCCGGAUUUACUGGGCGUAAAGGGUGCGUAGGUGGUCUCUUAAGUCAGGAGUGAAAGGCUACGGCUUAACCGUAGUAAGCUCUUGAAACUGGGAGACUUGAGUGCAGGAGAGGAAAGUGGAAUUCCUAGUGUAGCGGUGAAAUGCGUAGAUAUUAGGAGGAACACCAGUAGCGAAGGCGGCUUUCUGGACUGUAACUGACACUGAGGCACGAAAGCGUGGGGAGCAAACAGGAUUAGAUACCCUGGUAGUCCACGCCGUAAACGAUGAGUACUAGGUGU
Molecule: ribosomal RNA, 710 nt
Filed under: uncultured bacterium
Lineage: Bacteria
Description: bacterial SSU rRNA
Rfam family: Bacterial small subunit ribosomal RNA
Source: RNAcentral